This 451-nucleotide ribosomal RNA is filed under the name uncultured Bifidobacterium sp. RNAcentral's name for it is "bacterial SSU rRNA". It matches the Rfam family "Bacterial small subunit ribosomal RNA", at positions 173 to 638 of the family's 1533-position model. The record is from RNAcentral. Lineage: Bacteria; Bacillati; Actinomycetota; Actinomycetes; Bifidobacteriales; Bifidobacteriaceae.
CUCCAGUUGGAUGCAUGUCCUUCUGGGAAAGAUUCAUCGGUAUGGGAUGGGGUCGCGCCCUAUCAGCUUGAUGGCGGGGUAACGGCCCACCAUGGCUUCGACGGGUAGCCGGCCUGAGAGGGCGACCGGCCACAUUGGGACUGAGAUACGGCCCAGACUCCUACGGGAGGCAGCAGUGGGGAAUAUUGCACAAUGGGCGCAAGCCUGAUGCAGCGACGCCGCGUGCGGGAUGACGGCCUUCGGGUUGUAAACCGCUUUUGACUGGGAGCAAGCCCUUCGGGGUGAGUGUACCUUUCGAAUAAGCACCGGCUAACUACGUGCCAGCAGCCGCGGUAAUACGUAGGGUGCAAGCGUUAUCCGGAAUUAUUGGGCGUAAAGGGCUCGUAGGCGGUUCGUCGCGUCCGGUGUGAAAGUCCAUCGCUUAACGGUGGAUCCGCGCCGGGUACGGGCG